UUCCAAAUCCUCUAUAGAUCAAAGCUCUGGAAUAGACAGGCAGAUUGGGGUGACAUGAAUUGGGUCUGGACUAAAGAGUGGUGGAAACUCACAGCACGGUCUCUUCAGAGGAGUGUUUUGAUGGGGUUGUUCGCAUUCCCUUAUCCCUAUUGAUAACCCCUUCCUGCCAUCCAGCCCUGCUGAUUCAGUUGAAAAGAGGGAUAUUCUCAUUCAGAGAGUAGUCUCUCUUUCUUUCUCUCCCUC
Molecule: long non-coding RNA, 243 nt
Organism: Cyprinus carpio (common carp)
Lineage: Eukaryota; Metazoa; Chordata; Actinopteri; Cypriniformes; Cyprinidae
Source: Ensembl